Athene cunicularia (burrowing owl) is the source of this 528-nucleotide long non-coding RNA. RefSeq lists it as uncharacterized. Lineage: Eukaryota; Metazoa; Chordata; Aves; Strigiformes; Strigidae. The transcript is spliced from 3 exons. The record is from RefSeq and is a predicted model, not a curated record.
UGUAACUUCAGCUAGCAUUGGAGCUUUGAAUCCUCAGUAUUUGUAUUAUAGAACAUUAUGUGUACAUAUCUAUGUGCCUACACACAGUUCUCAUGACAAAUCGGAAGCCGCAAUUCACUACUGUCUUGCAAAGAAAAAUAUUUUUCCCUGAGCAAGCUUGAAAGAGCAAAACUAAAGGUUAAAACCACAGAAAGAAGCUCACAGGAAGAAAAAUCUUCCAUGAAAAUUUGCUAUUUUCACUUUAUCUGCAUUCAUCAGACCCCAUCAAACAAAGCUAUUUUCUACCAGUCUAAAAGAGAAAAUGACAUAUUACAACAUUUACUUUUCUUCUGCACUAGAAUUGACACUGAAAUGCAGACCCCUUCUGUGAUACAGAAAUAUACAAGAGCUUCCAGCUCAGAUGUGGUUAAGCCUUUUUGUUUUAUCUCAACAUUAAAUAGUAUUCACCUUCCAUUGUACCUCAUAUAGACUGAAAUUUGGAUGCUUCGUACUUGUCUUUUUUCUAUUAUUGCCUAGCUGAGAUUACUU